AGAGUUUGAUCAUGGCUCAGGACGAACGCUGGCGGCGUGCUUAACACAUGCAAGUCGAACGGAAAGGCCCUUCGGGGUACUCGAGUGGCGAACGGGUGAGUAACACGUGGGUGAUCUGCCCUGCACUUUGGGAUAAGCCUGGGAAACUGGGUCUAAUACCGAAUAGGACCGCGCUCUUCAUGGGGUGUGGUGGAGAGCUUUUGCGGUGUGGGAUGGGCCCGCGGCCUAUCAGCUUGUUGGUGGGGUAAUGGCCUACCAAGGCGACGACGGGUAGCCGGCCUGAGAGGGUGACCGGCCACACUGGGACUGAGAUACGGCCCAGACUCCUACGGGAGGCAGCAGUGGGGAAUAUUGCACAAUGGGCGCAAGCCUGAUGCAGCGACGCCGCGUGAGGGAUGACGGCCUUCGGGUUGUAAACCUCUUUCAAUAGGGACGAAGCGCAAGUGACGGUACCUAUAGAAGAAGGACCGGCCAACUACGUGCCAGCAGCCGCGGUAAUACGUAGGGUCCGAGCGUUGUCCGGAAUUACUGGGCGUAAAGAGCUCGUAGGUGGUUUGUCACGUUGUCCGUGAAAACUCACAGCUUAACUGUGGGCGUGCGGGCGAUACGGGCAGACUGGAGUACUGUAGGGGAGACUGGAAUUCCUGGUGUAGCGGUGGAAUGCGCAGAUAUCAGGAGGAACACCGGUGGCGAAGGCGGGUCUCUGGGCAGUAACUGACGCUGAGGAGCGAAAGCGUGGGGAGCGAACAGGAUUAGAUACCCUGGUAGUCCAA
This 773-nucleotide ribosomal RNA is filed under the name uncultured bacterium. Its description in RNAcentral is "bacterial SSU rRNA". It matches the Rfam family "Bacterial small subunit ribosomal RNA", at positions 8 to 798 of the family's 1533-position model. The record is from RNAcentral.